AGUGAACGCUGGCGGUAGGCCUAACACAUGCAAGUCGAACGGCAGCACAGUAAGAGCUUGCUCUUACGGGUGGCGAGUGGCGGACGGGUGAGGAAUACAUCGGAAUCUACUUUUUCGUGGGGGAUAACGUAGGGAAACUUACGCUAAUCCCGCAUACGACCUACGGGUGAAAGCAGGGGAUCUUCGGACCUUGCGCGAUUGAAUGAUCCGAUGUCGGAUUAGCUAGUUGGCGGGGUAAAGGCCCACCAAGGCGACGAUCCGUAGCUGGUCUGAGAGGAUGAUCAGCCACACUGGAUCUGGGACACGGUCCAGACUCCUACGAGAGGCAGCAGUGGGGAAUGUUGGACAAUGGUCGCAAGCCUGAUCCAGCCAGACCGCGUGGGUGAAGAAGGCCUUCGGGUUGUAAAGCCCUUUUGUUGGGAAAGAAAAGCAGCAGGUUAAUACCCCGCUGUUCUGACGGUACCCAAAGAAUAAGCACCGGCUAACUUCGUG
RNAcentral lists this ribosomal RNA (492 nucleotides) under uncultured bacterium. Its description in RNAcentral is "partial 16S ribosomal RNA". It matches the Rfam family "Bacterial small subunit ribosomal RNA", at positions 29 to 507 of the family's 1533-position model. The record is from RNAcentral.